RNAcentral lists this ribosomal RNA (430 nucleotides) under uncultured bacterium. RNAcentral describes it as "bacterial SSU rRNA". It matches the Rfam family "Bacterial small subunit ribosomal RNA", at positions 43 to 524 of the family's 1533-position model. The record is from RNAcentral.
CAGGCCUAAACAUGCAAGUCGAACGCCUGUAGCAAUACAGGAGUGGCGGACGGGUGAGAACGCGUGGGAACCUGCCCUAGAGUGGGGGAUAACCUGGCGAAAGCGAGCUAAUACCGCAUAUGCCCUGAGGGGCAAAGGCUUCGGCCGCUCUUGGAGGGCCCGCGUUGGAUUAGGUAGUUGGUGAGGUAACGGCUCAGCAAGCCGAGAUCCAUAGCUGGUCUGAGAGGAUGAUCAGCCACACUGGGACUGAGACAGGCCCAGACUCCUACGGGAGGCAGCAGUGGGGAAUAUUGGACAAUGGGGAAACCCUGAUCCAGCAAUGCCGCGUGAGUAAAGAAGGCCUUAGGGUUGUAAGCUCUUUAGCCGAUGAAUAUAAUGACUGUAGUCGGAGAAUAAGCCCCGCUAACUUCGUGCCAGCAGCCGCGGUAAU